AAAAAUUUAGUUAAACCAUAACAUUAGCUUGUCAAGCUAAAAUUAUUCUUUUUAAAAUAAUUUUUA
Molecule: transfer RNA, 66 nt
Filed under: Trigonopterus tounensis
Lineage: Eukaryota; Metazoa; Arthropoda; Insecta; Coleoptera; Curculionidae
Description: tRNA-Asp
Source: RNAcentral